Molecule: ribosomal RNA, 562 nt
Filed under: uncultured bacterium
Lineage: Bacteria
Description: bacterial SSU rRNA
Rfam family: Bacterial small subunit ribosomal RNA
Source: RNAcentral
AUUGAACGCUGGCGGCAUGCCUUACACAUGCAAGUCGAACGGCAGCACGGGAGCAAUCCUGGUGGCGAGUGGCGAACGGGUGAGUAAUACAUCGGAACGUGCCCAGUUGUGGGGAGUAGCCGGCGAAAGCCGGAUUAAGUACCGCAUACGACCUAUGGGUGAAAGCGGGGAGUCNCAAGACCUCGCGCAAUUGGAGCGGCCGAUGUCAGAUUAGGUAGUUGGUGGGGUAAAAGCCUACCAAGCCGACGAUCUGUAGCUGGUCUGAGAGGACGACCAGCCACACUGGGACUGAGACACGGCCCAGACUCCUACGGGAGGCAGCAGUGGGGAAUUUUGGACAAUGGGCGCAAGCCUGAUCCAGCCAUGCCGCGUGUGGGAAGAAGGCCUCGGGUUGUAAACCACUUUUGUCAGGGAAGAAACGGCCUAGGCUAACAUCUUGGGCUAAUGACGGUACCUGAAGAAUAAGCACCGGCUAACCUACGUGCCAGCAGCCGCGGUAAUNCGUAGGGUGCAAGCGUUAAUCGGAAUACUGGGCGUAAAGCGUGCGCAGGCGGGCUUUUGC